This 30-nucleotide non-coding RNA is filed under the name Mus musculus (house mouse). Lineage: Eukaryota; Metazoa; Chordata; Mammalia; Rodentia; Muridae. The record is from RNAcentral.
UAUGGUCUGUUGUUACCCUAACAUGAGGAA